RNAcentral lists this transfer RNA (85 nucleotides) under Rickettsia endosymbiont of Ixodes persulcatus. RNAcentral's name for it is "tRNA-Leu". It matches the Rfam family "tRNA". From Rfam's summary of the family: Transfer RNA (tRNA) molecules are approximately 80 nucleotides in length. Their secondary structure includes four short double-helical elements and three loops (D, anti-codon, and T loops). Further hydrogen bonds mediate the characteristic L-shaped molecular structure. tRNAs have two regions of fundamental functional importance: the anti-codon, which is responsible for specific mRNA codon recognition, and the 3' end, to which the tRNAs corresponding amino acid is attached (by aminoacyl-tRNA synthetases). tRNAs cope with the degeneracy of the genetic code in two manners: having more than one tRNA (with a specific anti-codon) for a particular amino acid; and 'wobble' base-pairing, i.e. permitting non-standard base-pairing at the 3rd anti-codon position. The record is from RNAcentral. Lineage: Bacteria; Pseudomonadati; Pseudomonadota; Alphaproteobacteria; Rickettsiales; Rickettsiaceae.
GCGGGAGUGGCGGAACUGGUAGACGCGCUGGAUUUAAACCCCGGUGCCGCAAGGCGUGGGGGUUCGAAUCCCUCCUCCCGCACCA